AGCGAACGCUGGCGGCAGGCUUAACACAUGCAAGUCGAGCGGGCACUUUCGGGUGUCAGCGGCGGACGGGUGAGUAACGCGUGGGAACGUGCCCUCUGGUUCGGAAUAACUCAGGGAAACUUGAGCUAAUACCGGAUACGCCCUUUUGGUGAAAGGCUUGCUGCCGGAGGAUCGGCCCGCGUCUGAUUAGCUAGUUGGUGAGGUAACGGCUCACCAAGGCGACGAUCAGUAGCUGGUCUGAGAGGAUGAUCAGCCACACUGGGACUGAGACACGGCCCAGACUCCUACGGGAGGCAGCAGUGGGGAAUAUUGGACAAUGGGCGCAAGCCUGAUACAGCCAUGCCGCGUGAGUGAUGAAGGCCUUAGGGUUGUAAAGCUCUUUUAUCCGGGACGAUAAUGACGGUACCGGAGGAAUAAGCCCCGGCUAACUUCGUG
This 435-nucleotide ribosomal RNA is filed under the name uncultured bacterium. Its description in RNAcentral is "partial 16S ribosomal RNA". It matches the Rfam family "Bacterial small subunit ribosomal RNA", at positions 29 to 507 of the family's 1533-position model. The record is from RNAcentral.